CCUACGGGUGGCAGCAGUGGGGAAUAUUGGACAAUGGGCGCAAGCCUGAUCCAGCCAUACCGCGUGUGUGAAGAAGGCCUUCGGGUUGUAAAGCACUUUAAGUAAGGAAGAAAAGAGUAUUGUUAAUACCAAUACUCCGUGACAUUACUUACAGAAUAAGGACCGGCUAAUUCCGUGCCAGCAGCCGCGGUAAUACGGAAGGUCCAAGCGUUAAUCGGAAUUACUGGGCGUAAAGCGCGCGUAGGUGGUUUAUUAAGUUGGGUGUGAAAGCCCCGGGCUCAACCUGGGAACUGCAUCCAAAACUGAUUCACUAGAGUACGAAAGAGGAAAGUAGAAUUCACAGUGUAGCGGUGGAAUGCGUAGAUAUUGUGAAGAAUACCGAUGGCGAAGGCAGCUUUCUGGUUCUGUACUGACACUGAGGUGCGAAAGCGUGGGUAGCG
RNAcentral lists this ribosomal RNA (440 nucleotides) under uncultured bacterium. Its description in RNAcentral is "bacterial SSU rRNA". It matches the Rfam family "Bacterial small subunit ribosomal RNA", at positions 338 to 770 of the family's 1533-position model. The record is from RNAcentral.